GAGACACGGCCCAGACUCCUACGGGAGGCAGCAGUGGGGAAUUUUGCGCAAUGCUCGAAAGAGUGACGCAGCGACCCCGCGUGAAUGAAGAAGGCCUUCGGGUCGUAAAGUUCUUUCGACAGGGAAGAAAGUUAUCAUCAGUAACUGGGUCAUAUUUGACGGAACCUGUAUAAGCAGCCCCGGCUAACUCCGUGCCAGCAGCCGCGGUAAUACAGAGGGGGCGAGCGUUGUUCGGAGUGACUGGGCCUAAAGAGCACGUAGGCGGUGAUGUAAGUCAUUGGUUAAAGGCAGCAGGUCAACUGCUGUAAGGCCGAUGAUACUAUGUUGCUGGAGUGCCGGAGAGGAUUGCAGAAUUCCUGGUGUAGCGGUGAAAUGCGUAGAUAUCAGGAGGAAUACCUGUUGCGAAGGCGGCAAUCUGGUCGGUAACUGACGCUGAGGUGCGAAAGCGUGGGUAGCAAACAGGAUUAGAUACCCUGGUAGUCCACGCUGUAAACGAUGGACGCUAGAUGUCGGGAGGUAUACUUUCGGUGUCGCAGCAAACGCGAUAAGCGUCCCGCCUGGGGAGUACGUUCGCAAGAAUGAAACUCAAAGGAAUUGACGGGGGCCCGCACAAGCGGUGGAGCACGUGGUUUAAUUCGAUGCUAA
Molecule: ribosomal RNA, 645 nt
Filed under: uncultured bacterium
Lineage: Bacteria
Description: bacterial SSU rRNA
Rfam family: Bacterial small subunit ribosomal RNA
Source: RNAcentral